Molecule: ribosomal RNA, 3699 nt
Filed under: Triticum aestivum (bread wheat)
Lineage: Eukaryota; Viridiplantae; Streptophyta; Magnoliopsida; Poales; Poaceae
Description: partial small subunit ribosomal RNA
Source: RNAcentral
AUGACGUGCUGCAGGCAUUCGCCGAUCUCUUCGGCUGGCGCAUCCCCAAGCUGCUCGACCCGCCUGUCAACUCGCCCUUCCCCCUGCCUCGCGCUGUCGAGGCCUAGUGGCUGCCUAGGCCACCGCAGGACUCCACCUCUCUCCAUGGAUCACAACCUUCGCACUGUAUUUUGGAACGUGCGUGGCCUUAAUGCCCCGGCCAAGCGCACCGCCGUUCGCAGCAUGAUCUCCGCUGCCUCGCCUUGUAUUGUUUGCAUCCAAGAGACUAAGAUGGUUUCUCUCUCGUCCUCGCUUGUCACUGAGACGCUCGGCUCGUCCUUCUUUGAGUUUUUCUUCCUUCCCGCGGAUGGGACCCGUGGGUGUAUCCUGCUUGCUUGGUGCUCGGACAUGAUCGCGCUUUCCGAUCCAUGCCGCGGCGAACACCACAUCACUGCGCUGGCCUCUUCUCUCGAUGGCGCCCACCACUGGUGGCUCACUGGCGUUUAUGGCCCGCAAGGUGAUGAUGACAAGAUCGCUUUCCUCGGUGACCUCAGUGAGGUCCGAUCGUUGCGUGCUGGCCCUUGGAUCCUAGGAGGCGACUUUAACAUGAUCUCAGGGGCAGCGGACAAGAAUAACUCCCGGCUCAACCACCGGGUCAUGUCGCGGUUCCGCCGCUUCCUCGCCGAUGAGGAACUGCGUGAUAUCUACCUGCACGGGCGACGAUAUACUUGGUCAAACGAACGCGGCACCCCCACCCUCACGCGCAUUGACCGGGUGAUCUCUAAUUCUGCAUGGGAAGCGCUCCACCCGCAUUGCAUGCUACGCUGCCUCUCCUCCGCAGCGUCCGAUCAUGCACCUCUCCUUCUCGACUGCACUGCGCGCUCGCCUGGCACGCGGAGAUUCCACUUCGAAAGAUUCUGGCCGCGCACUGAUGGCUGCACGCAGGUCGUGCUCGAGGCCUGGGCCACUGCGGCCGAUGAGCCGGACCCCUUCCGCAGGUUGGUGGCACGCCUCAAGAACACUGCGCGGCGUCUCCAAAGCUGGAGCACAAAGAAGAUUGGGGACGUGUCCCGACAGCUCCUCGUCGCUCGUGAGCUGAUUGCGUGCCUGGAUGCGGCGCAGGACUUCCGGCCCCUUUCCCCGGCCGAGGCCUGGCUGCGUAGGCGCCUCAAAGGGGCGUACCUGGGGCUGGUGUCGCUCGAGCGCUCGAUCUCGCGCCAGCGUGUCAGGCUAUCCUGGUUGCGGGACGACGACGCGGGUCAGAAGUUCUUCAGGGUGCAUGCAGCACACCGCAAGCAGAAGAACCGGAUCGUCGAGUUGCAGGUCGGAGACACAUCCGUCUCCGACCCGGCCGCUCUUGCUGAAGCUGCUUACGGUCACUUCUGCGGCAUCCUUGGAUCGGCGAAGCCGCGGCCUUUCUCCUUAGACCUCUCCGCGCUCCACGUUGGGCCAUUUGACCUCUCCAGCCUCGACGCACCUUUCUCCGAGGACGAGAUCUGGGCUGCGGUCAAAAGCUUACCGCUCGGGAAGGCGCCCGGCCCCGAUGGCUUCACCGCCGAAUUCCUCCGGAGUGCGUGGGACGUGAUCAAGCAUGACAUAUGCGCCGUCUUUGAUAAGCUAUCCGCACUCAACGGACGCUGUUUCCAGAGGCUCAACGAGGCGCUCCUCACCCUCCUUCCGAAGAAGCAAGAUGCGGCAUCUCUCUUGGACUAUCGCCCCAUUAGUCUCAUCCAUCUCAUUGCGAAGCUGUUCGCGAAGGCGCUCUCUCUUCGGCUGGCACCCCACCUGGGCAAGAUGGUUUCUACCAAUCGAAGUGCAUUCAUCGCCGGCCGAAGCAUCCACGACAACUUCCUCCAUGUCCAACAGAUGGCUAGACUUCUUCACAACCUCAAGAUGCCGCGGAUGCUCCUCAAGCUCGACAUCGCGAGGGCUUUCGACUCGGUGGCAUGGCCCUUUCUGCUGGACAUGCUAAAGCACCUAGGCUUUGGAGACCGAUGGUGCGAAUGGAUCUCCAUCCUGCUCUCUACCGCAUCGACACGUGUGCUUGUCAAUGGCAUCCCCGGGCCACCAAUUCUUCACGCGUGCGGGCUACGGCAAGGGGACCCCAUUUCCCCAAUGCUCUUCGUCAUCAUCAUCGACGUGCUCAACUCGCUCCUUCAGCGAGCCGUCGAGCGCGGCCUCCUCCAGCGGCUGACCGCGCGGCACCUGCCUUCGAGCGUCUCCCUCUACGCUGACGAUGUCGUCAUCUUCAGCCACCCCGACACCCAUGACAUCCGCGCCAUUCGCCGUAUAUUGGACGUCUUCGGCAAGGCAUCCGGGCUCUGCACAAACCUCGCCAAGUGCUCGGCCUCCCCAAUACGCUGCGACGAGGGGCACAUUGCCACGAUCACGACUGAGAUGGCCUGCCCGAUCGCUCACUUCCCGGUGAAGUACCUCGGCCUCCCGCUUUCCCUCCGUAAGCCCUCGACAGUCGACCUUAUGCCGCUCGUCGACAAGCUCGAGAGGAAGCUAUCUACUUGGCUGGGAUCCAUGCUCUCCUUGGGGGAUCGUCUCGCGCUCUGUCGGCACGUCCUCUGCGCCAUGCCCAUCCACAUCCUCGUCGCCAUUGCCGUCAACAAGUCCAUCCUUGCUCGAGUCAACCGGAUCAUUCGAAGCUUCCUUUGGGUUGGCCGCAAGGAUGCGCGUGGAGGGCAAUGCCGAGUGAACUGGGAUCGGGUGUGUCGCCCCACCUUCCUCGGUGGCUUGGGGAUACGCGACCUGCAGCACGCUGGCGUCGCCCUGCGCACCCGAUGGCUCUGGCUCCAGCGUAUUGAUGGUUCGCACCCCUGGAGUCAACUGCACCUCCCCCAUGGCCCUGCGGCCUCACAGAUUUUCAGAGCCUCCACCACCUGGGAGGUGCGUGAUGGUCGCACCUGCAAGUUCUGGACUGACCCUUGGAUUGAUGGCAAGGCCAUCCCUGAGCUUGCCCCUCUCGUGUUCUCCCUGGUCUCCAGACGGCAUCGCCGUGAUCGAACGGUGGCCGAGGGACUUCCUGAGCGUGCCUGGGUGCGCGACAUUGCCGGCGCGCUCGGCCCGGCCGCCCUGCUUCAAUACGUCGACCUUUGGCGCAUGCUACAAAACGCUACCCUCUCGGCUGGGCCUGAUGUGCUACGAUGGAAGUGGACGGAGUCUGGCGUCUACUCCGCCAAAUCCUGCUACCUUGCGCUCUUUCAUGGAUCUACGACCGACGCAUCCUGGAAGCUCACCUGGAAGACUUGGGCCCCCUUACGCAUCAAGGUAUUCAUCUGGCUUGCUUUGCAGGACCGAUGCUGGACGGCCGACCGCCUUGCCCGGCGAGGGCUGCCCCACAAUGACAGUUGCGUGCUGUGCGACCAGACCACUGAGGACAUGCACCACUUGUUCACCUCCUGCCCCUUCUCCCGCCAAAUUUGGCAUGAGGUCCUUUCUUGGUGCCGAUCGACUGCCACGAUCCCAAACCCCGACACACCGUUCGCGGAUUGGUGGAUAGAUACUUGCACUUCAUCACCCACGGCUCUGCGGAAGGGACUCUGCUCCAUCAUCGCUCUCACCGCAUGGGCCAUCUGGAAGCACCGGAAUGGAUGCGUGUUUGAUCAGCGGCAACCCUCGGUCGCAGCUCUACUGCAAUCCAUUCAAGAAGACGCUCACCUGUGGGUUAGUGCCGGCGCCAACGGCUUGGCGAACUUGAUACCUGAGAUUUAG